AAGUCGAGCGAUGAAGUUUCCUUCGGGAAACGGAUUAGCGGCGGAGGGUGAGUAACACGUGGGCAACCUACCACAUAGAGGGGAAUAGCCUUCCGAAAGGGAGAUUAAUACCGCAUAACAUUUUCGAUUGGCAUCAAUUGGAAAUCAAAGGAGGAAUCCGCUAUGAGAUGGGCCCGCGUCGCAUUAGUUAGUUGGUGGGGUAAAGGCCUACCAAGACGACGAUGCGUAGCCGACCUGAGAGGGUGAUCGGCCACAUUGGGACUGAGACACGGCCCAGACUCCUACGGGAGGCAGCAGUGGGGAAUAUUGCACAAUGGAGGAAACUCUGAUGCAGCAACGCCGCGUGAGCGAUGAAGGUCUUCGGAUCGUAAAGCUCUGUCUUUAGGGAUGAUAAUGACAGUACCUAAGGAGGAAGCCACGGCUAACUACGUGCCAGCAGCCGCGGUAAUACGUAGGUGGCGAGCGUUAUCCGGAAUUAUUGGGCGUAAAGGGAGCGUAGGCGGAUACUUAAGUGGGAUGUGAAAGACUUGGGCUCAACCCAAGGGCUGCAUUCCAAACUGAGUAUCUAGAGUGCAGGAGAGGAGAGUGGAAUUCCUAGUGUAGCGGUGAAAUGCGUAGAGAUUAGGAAGAACACCAGUGGCGAAGGCGACUCUCUGGACUGUAACUGGCGCUGAGGCUCGAAAGCGUGGGGAGCAAACAGGAUUAGAUACCCUGGUAGUCCACGC
RNAcentral lists this ribosomal RNA (725 nucleotides) under uncultured bacterium. Its description in RNAcentral is "bacterial SSU rRNA". It matches the Rfam family "Bacterial small subunit ribosomal RNA", at positions 59 to 800 of the family's 1533-position model. The record is from RNAcentral.